This 497-nucleotide ribosomal RNA is filed under the name uncultured bacterium. RNAcentral's name for it is "partial 16S ribosomal RNA". It matches the Rfam family "Bacterial small subunit ribosomal RNA", at positions 28 to 507 of the family's 1533-position model. The record is from RNAcentral.
GAUGAACGCUGGCGGCGUGCCUAAUACAUGCAAGUCGAGCGAACGGACGAGAAGCUUGCUUUUCUGAUGUUAGCGGCGGACGGGUGAGUAACACGUGGAUAACCUACCUAUAAGACUGGGAUAACUUCGGGAAACCGGAGCUAAUACCGGAUAAUAUUUUGAACCGCAUGGUUCAAAAGUGAAAGACGGUCUCGCUGUCACUUAUAGAUGGAUCCGCGCUGCAUUAGCUAGUUGGUAAGGUAACGGCUUACCAAGGCAACGAUGCAUAGCCGACCUGAGAGGGUGAUCGGCCACACUGGAACUGAGACACGGUCCAGACUCCUACGGGAUGCAGCAGUAGGGAAUCUUCCGCAAUGGGCGAAAGCCUGACGGAGCAACGCCGCGUGAGUGAUGAAGGUCUUCGGAUCGUAAAACUCUGUUAUUAGGGAAGAACAUAUGUGUAAGUAACUGUGCACAUCUUGACGGUACCUAAUCAGAAAGCCACGGCUAACUACGUG